AGAGUUUGAUCCUGGCUCAGGACGAACGCUGGCGGCGUGCUUAACACAUGCAAGUCACGGGGGCUCGCAAGAGCAACCGGCGAACGGGUGCGUAACACGUGAGCAAUCUGCCGAUGUCCGGGGGAUAGCCGGCCCAACGGCCGGGUAAUACCGCAUACGUUCUUGGUCGGACCUCCGACUGAGAAGAAACCUCCGGGGGA
RNAcentral lists this ribosomal RNA (200 nucleotides) under uncultured bacterium. Its description in RNAcentral is "partial 16S ribosomal RNA". It matches the Rfam family "Bacterial small subunit ribosomal RNA", at positions 8 to 219 of the family's 1533-position model. The record is from RNAcentral.